This 432-nucleotide ribosomal RNA is filed under the name uncultured bacterium. RNAcentral's name for it is "partial 16S ribosomal RNA". It matches the Rfam family "Bacterial small subunit ribosomal RNA", at positions 29 to 506 of the family's 1533-position model. The record is from RNAcentral.
AACGAACGCUGGCGGCAGGCUUAACACAUGCAAGUCGAACGCACCUUUCGGGGUGAGUGGCAGACGGGUGAGUAACGCGUGGGAAUCUACCCUUCUCUACGGGAUAGCUCCGGGAAACUGGAAUUAAUACCGUAUACGUCCUGAGGGAGAAAGAUUUAUCGGGGAAGGAUGAGCCCGCGUUGAAUUAGCUAGUUGGUGGGGUAAAGGCCUACCAAGGCGACGAUCCAUAGCUGGUCUAAGAGGAUGAUCAGCCACAUUGGGACUGAGACACGGCCCAAACUCCUACGGGAGGCAGCAGUGGGGAAUAUUGGACAAUGGGCGCAAGCCUGAUCCAGCCAUGCCGCGUGAGUGAUGAAGGCCCUAGGGUUGUAAAGCUCUUUCAGUGGGGACGAUAAUGACGGUACCCACAGAAGAAGCCCCGGCUAACUUCGU